Cordylochernes scorpioides is the source of this 82-nucleotide non-coding RNA. Lineage: Eukaryota; Metazoa; Arthropoda; Arachnida; Pseudoscorpiones; Chernetidae. The record is from the annotation of a GenBank genome assembly.
GGUCAUGUGGCCUAGUGGUCAUGGCAUCUGCCCGGUAAGCGGAAGGUCGUGGGUUCGAUUUUUAUUUUAUCCAUUCUGACCA